Dendrobium catenatum is the source of this 3283-nucleotide RNA transcript. It is a transcript of the gene named kinesin-like protein KIN-8B, with no coding region annotated. The transcript is spliced from 17 exons. The record is from RefSeq and is a predicted model, not a curated record. Lineage: Eukaryota; Viridiplantae; Streptophyta; Magnoliopsida; Asparagales; Orchidaceae.
AUCUCUUUUAUUAUUUUCUUAUAUAUAUCUUUUUUAAUUUUUUAAAGCAACGGAUAGCGUCGCCUCGUCGAGUGGAUCGCCGGGAGGCGAAUCUUGUCGACUGCCGGAACUGCGGCAUACAUCGCCGGAGACAGCUGAGGUUGUCUCCUCGGCCGCCGUGAAGCCUCCGCACUCAUGCAUUCCGUUGUUAGAUGCCUCAUCAGCUCAUUGCUGAGUUAAUAGCUUCUUGGAAUGUAGAAAUCAAGAAGACCUGUUGUGGUUGGAAGCCGCGGGAUCUUCUGUAAGUGGUAAGAAGUGAUAGGCAGGAGUUUCCGAUUGUGAGAGGUUUGGAAGUGGGCCAGUGGCGGCGUUGGAGAUUUGAUGAGUUGCUGGGUUUGAGGUUUGUGGAUUCGGAGCUUGAUGAGAUAUUUAGGGUUUGGCGCUUUCUUUGGGUUCUACUCCGAUGGAUUCUAAAUGUAGACGGGGAGAUACAAGAUGCAGCUGAAAGGAGCAGAGUUUUGGGAGUAGAAAUGUAGUGGAUUCUUUGUUUGUGCUUUUUGUUUGUUGUGAUACGGAGUUUGGUAGCUGGGAUUUGUUAUUUGAUUAGGGAUGCCGAGUAUUAGAGCUCCUGCUUCGAAGAAAACUGCAACCUUGCUGGUGGCUGUCAAAUGCAGGCCAUUGACUGAAGCAGAACGACGCAGAAAUAGGAAUAUUAUUCAAGUUAUUGAUGAUAAGAAUGUAGUUGUUUUGGAUCCGGACUUGUCCAAGGAUUACCUUGACAGAAUUCAAAACAGAACUAAAGAGAAAAGAUACUGUUUUGACCAUGUUUUUGGGCAUGCAUGUACAAAUUCGGAUGUGUAUAAAGGUGUGCGUUCAACAAUUGCUGGGGUCAUCCAAGGCCUAAAUGCAACUGUUUUUGCAUAUGGUUCAACUGGAAGUGGGAAAACUUAUACUAUGGUUGGGACUCAAAAUGAUCCCGGACUCAUGGUUCUUAGCCUAAACACCAUCUUUGAACUUAUCAAGAAUGAUAGGAGUUCAGACAACUUUGAAGUCUCUUGCUCUUACCUUGAAGUGUACAAUGAGGUCAUUUAUGAUUUACUUGAAAAAUCAUCUGGGCACCUCGAACUCAGAGAAGACCCUGAGCAUGGCAUUGUCGUUGCUGGUUUAAGAAGUAUUAAGGUUCAAUCAGCUGACAGAAUUCUUGAGCUUUUAAAUCUUGGAAAUAGUAGGCGUAAGACAGAAAGCACAGAGGCCAAUGCAACUUCAUCACGUUCACAUGCUGUACUGGAGAUAAACGUGAAAAGGAAACAGAAAAAUCAAAACCGCAAUCAGAUUCUGCGUGGAAAGCUUGCACUAGUUGAUCUAGCUGGCAGUGAAAGAGCUUCUGAAACUAAUAGUGGAGGCCAGAAACUUAGAGAUGGAGCCAAUAUUAAUCGCUCACUUCUUGCUUUGGCAAACUGCAUCAAUGCCUUGGGAAAACACCAGAAGAAGGGUCUUGCAUAUGUCCCUUAUAGGAAUAGCAAGCUUACUCGGAUAUUAAAGGAUGGUCUUAGUGGAAACUCUCAAACCGUAAUGAUUGCCACCAUAUCACCUGCGGAUGAUCAGUAUCAUCAUACAGUUAAUACUCUGAAAUAUGCUGACCGAGCUAAGGAAAUCAAGACACAUGUCCAUAAAAACAUUGGGAUUAUCGACCUGCAUGUUGCAGAUUACCAAAAAAUGAUAGACAAUCUCCAGGUGGAAGUUUGUCGUUUAAGAAAGGAACUAGCUGAGAAGGAAUCUCACGUCAACGUACAAUCUGUUGAGAAAAAUUCAGAUGGUGAGAUUUCUUGGCUAAAUACUCUAAGCCAGGAAACUAGUGAAAAUGUCCAGGAACGCAUAAAUCUACAGAAGGCAUUAUUUGAGCUGGAGGAAACAAACCUUCGAAACCGCACUGAACUGCAACACCUAGAUGAUGCCAUCAUCAAAGAUAAGGAUGAUGCAAUUGCUCUAGUGCUGAAAUCAAGGAGGCAACUUAUUCUUGAUAACAUACGUGACAAUGAAGAGACUGGCACUGUGUACCGGAAGGAUAUUGAAGCUAAUGAGAAGCAUCGUCGCCAGCUUCAAAACAUGAUAGAGGAAGCCAUCAGCAACAAUGGAAACAAAACCUACUUGCAUAUUCUCAGCCAGUACAGGCUUCUGGGUAUGGCCAAUACUGAGCUGCAGUUUGAAAUAGCCAUGCGAGAUCAAGUUAUACACAAUCAAAGAGAAGCACAAAGGAACCUCUGGAACUUGCUCUUGGGAUUAGGACUCGGGCAGAAGCAAAUAUUGGAUUUGGCUGCUAAACAAGGAAUAACAAUAGAAAAUUGGACUAUCCCUGCUUCUGGAUCCCUAAACAAGAAGCCAUUAUCUUUUCAAGGCAUGGUUCAACCUCAUGAAAGCAGGCAUCGCAAUGCAUCAAUGUCCUGUGUUCUUCAGCAUCAUCAAGAUAUCAGCUCUACUGCUUAUUUCAAUGGUCACUCUGAUACGCACACUAUAUGCCGACAUGAGCACCAUAGCUCCUAUUACCUACUGUCUUCAAACCAUUGUUCUCCAGCACAUUUGGGCGUGGAGACACAGUGGGCAAGUGAAAAGCCUGUAAAAUGUCCCUGUAUACCUGGAAAGCUUAAUUUAAAUGCUUGUGGGUUCUGCCCUUCAAUUAGACCACAAGCUUUUCCAUGUCGUGAAGAUAGUUUCUCAUCUCCCUCAUACAGCGAAGCGGUUGGGCAGCAAUCUAAGGAUCCAUGCAAUGUUGAUCUACAGAAUGAAAUGAAGUUGUACCAUUCAGAGAAACAAAUUCCACAUACAUAGACUUAAAAGACAAUUUUGGAGAAAAUCAAUCGUUAUCUGGAGCCUUUUCGGUUCUUCUGGGCAUCAUUUUUGAGUAAGAUAUGAAUUUAUGAAUGGGGCCGGCUGAACCUGCUGAACUGGUCCCUAGUGACCGGUUCUUGCCUACAGGCGGAGGGCCCAAGGGGGUGGAACCAGGGAGAGGGAGGGGGCAGCUUAGGUGUGGAACCCACAGCUCAAUUAAGCAUUAUUUUUGGAGGGAAAAUUUAAAUUAAGGGCUGUUUAGUGAUUUUGUAUUUAUCCUCUUUGUUUUAAUUAGUUUCUCUUGGUGGGUUAGGAUUCCAUCUUGAUUUUGAAUCUUAAAUUGAGAUCUCGUGUGGUGCUUGGGCUCUAGUCUUUAGCUAGAGAUUUGGAGAGUUGGUUCUUCCUCUUGAAUUGAAGAUCCGUGUAACCUUGUGUUAUUAUUCUUCUUCUUCUAGUGAAUUUUAAGUGUUUUCUCUCA